RNAcentral lists this ribosomal RNA (429 nucleotides) under Pseudomonadota bacterium. Its description in RNAcentral is "Proteobacteria bacterium partial 16S ribosomal RNA". It matches the Rfam family "Bacterial small subunit ribosomal RNA", at positions 355 to 776 of the family's 1533-position model. Lineage: Bacteria; Pseudomonadati; Pseudomonadota. The record is from RNAcentral.
UGGGGAAUAUUGGACAAUGGGCGAAAGCCUGAUCCAGCCAUGCCGCGUGUGUGAAGAAGGUCUUCGGAUUGUAAAGCACUUUAAGUUGGGAGGAAGGGCAGUAAGCGAAUACCUUGCUGUUUUGACGUUACCGACAGACUAAGCACCGGCUAACUCUGUGCCAGCAGCCGCGGUAAUACAGAGGGUGCAAGCGUUAAUCGGAAUUACUGGGCGUAAAGCGCGCGUAGGUGGUUCGUUAAGUUGAAUGUGAAAGCCCCGGGCUCAACCUGGGAACUGCAUCCAAAACUGGCGAGCUAGAGUAGGGCAGAGGGUGGUGGAAUUUCCUGUGUAGCGGUGAAAUGCGUAGAUAUAGGAAGGAACACCAGUGGCGAAGGCGACCACCUGGGCUCAUACUGACACUGAGGUGCGAAAGCGUGGGGAGCAAACAGG